This 422-nucleotide ribosomal RNA is filed under the name uncultured bacterium. RNAcentral's name for it is "bacterial SSU rRNA". It matches the Rfam family "Bacterial small subunit ribosomal RNA", at positions 355 to 774 of the family's 1533-position model. The record is from RNAcentral.
UGAGGAAUAUUGGACAAUGGGCGCAAGCCUGAUCCAGCCAUGCCGCGUGCAGGAAGAAGCACCUAUGGUGUGUAAACUGCUUUUGUACGGGAAGAAACACUCCUUCGUGAAGGAGCUUGACGGUACCGUAAGAAUAAGGAUCGGCUAACUCCGUGCCAGCAGCCGCGGUAAUACGGAGGAUGCAAGCGUUAUCCGGAAUCAUUGGGCUUAAAGGGUCCGUAGGCGGUUUAGUAAGUCAGUGGUGAAAGCCCAUCGCUCAACGAUGGAACAGCCAUUGAUACUGCUAGACUUGAAUUAUUAGGCAGUGGCUGGAAUAUGUAGUGUAGCAGUGAUAUGCUUAGUUGUUACAGGGAAUACCAAUUGCGAAGGCGGGUUACUACUGAUGGAUUGACGCUGAUGGACGAAAGCGUGGGGAGCGAACA